Long non-coding RNA from Rhinolophus ferrumequinum (greater horseshoe bat), 2665 nucleotides. RefSeq lists it as uncharacterized. Lineage: Eukaryota; Metazoa; Chordata; Mammalia; Chiroptera; Rhinolophidae. The transcript is spliced from 3 exons. The record is from RefSeq and is a predicted model, not a curated record.
GAUCCUGCCCUGGUGGGAGGAAGGGGUGGAGGAUGGGGGAAUAAUGUCCUGGAGCCUCAACAUUGGCACUGACACAGACAGGAGCUGGCCCAUCUGCUUCCUGCAGGGACCUGGGACAAAGCUUAGAUGGGAAACUGAGGCUCAGAAAAUCAGCUGUGUUGAGGUCACAUAGCCAGAGCGCAGGCUCCUCCUUGCCACCACUCUACUCCUUUCCCUCUAGUCACCUUUAAUCACCCACUACAGGUCUCAGUACCCUCCUGCUUGGGAAGUCCCUCUUUGUAUCUAACUUCCAUUUGCCUUACUGCAAGUCGGGCCUGUUGGGAUUGGUCAAUGUCAUAUCCUCAGGGUAGGAGAUGAAGGCUGCCUUCAGAAGAGCUGGUACCCAGAGUGCCUACCCUCGUGGAUCAGUUUCAGUUGUAUUCUGGUACUGGGGGCUAGUCCAGGGUCAUCUGGCCUGUCAUUUGCCCCAAAUCACCCCCUCUAGGCCACCUGUGGGAUUCUGUGUUGUGUGUGUUUAUGUAUGUGUAUGUAUAUCUGUGUAGUUGUGUUUGUGGUGUGUUUCUGCUUAAGUAUGUCUGCCUGCUUGUCUCUCUGUUACCCGUCUGUCCUCUAUGUGUCUGUAUCUGUCAGGAUACUGCCUCUGUGUUGGUAAUGGGUUUGUCUGUCUGUCUGUAGUGUGUUGUUUCCCUGUAUUUGCAUGCUUGUUGGCUGGUGUGUCUGUGUGUAUAGCUGUGUGACGGUCCCCAUCUGUGUCUGCCUAUUUACUAGGUGUCUGUGUAUCUGUGGAGGGGAGGUAUCUGUGUCUGUUUUGGGGGGUUUGGCUGUCUGCCUGUCCUUGCCUGUCUGUCUGUCUGUGCAUAGGAGGCAGAAACACAAGAGCAGGGGAAGAUCGCAAAGCCAAGAGCAUGGCUGGGGAUGGCGGUGGCAGGGGGCGGUGUUCCUGCUCAUCACUGAGCGUGGCACUGAGCCCACCCCAAUCGAAUCUCAUGACUCACUGGGUUCCUUGGCCAAAGAGGAGAGGAAAAGGGCAGGGUCUGGGAGGGGGGCUGGAACCCCACUUUCCUUUUCCAUGGUCUCCUCCUUCCUGGUGACUCAUUCUGUUUUAUUCUUAUCCAAGGGCCUGGGGCAGAGCAACAGGUGAGGAAACACAGCAGCCCUCUGCCUCCGAUGAGACAGGUGGCCUGGGAUUUAGCAGUGACUCUGGCCUCCCUCACUUGUGACUCUGGGCAGACACUGCCCGUCUCAGCCUUGGUUUGAUAUCUGUACCCGGAUGCUCCCUUGAGGCCCUUUCAUGCUCUUUUCUUUCUAUAAAGGGAGCUGAAAUGAAAAAGGGGCAGUGACAUGCCUAAGGUCAUACAGCAGAGCAGAGGCACAGGCCUCCUCUCUUCUCCUUAGGAGUCCAGCACCCCCCUCACCCCCCAAACAGCUGCUCUGGAUGCUCAGAAUGGUCCAUUCUCCUCUAGAGGCUGAACAGAGCCUCUUGGGAAGACAAAGACCCAUUGUGCUCCAUUCAUCCUAGGUCUGGGGCCAAGAACCCACUCAUUGAAGCCCAGGGGCUCAGAUGUUUGGGUCCCAAAUGGCACUACCACUCAGGGUGCAGGUCUCUGGUGUCCUACUGUGGUCAGCUGGACAUGUGUAGAACUUGGAGCAACGAUACCGAGUACUGAGUGUAAGAUCCAGGCCAGGCCUAAUGUUGUGUGUAUUGGGCCAUGUCGUGACAUGUCAGGCUUUCUGGGGCCUUUUGGAUUGCCUUAUAAAAAGCACUGCCUGCAGGGCUGUGUGACAGGCAGAAUGUUGUGCUACUGCAGCAUGCUGGAAUUUGUGGUAGAUAAAAAUUCGGGGCCACGUGGAAGUGCUUUGUACAGUGCUGUGGCAUGCUUUACUGUCCGAUUUUGUCAUUCAUUCAACAAAUAUUUAUUGAACAUUUACUAUGUGCCAAGCUCUGUGCCAAGCACUCAGUGUUCAGGUUUGAGCCAAACAGACACAGGUCCUGCUAUUGUGAAAUCUUCAAUCUAAUGGGAAGACAGACAGAUGAGUAAGCAAAGAUACCAAUAAGUCCUUCCACAGUGUGCAGUGCCAUGAAGAGAUACACGUGGCAUAGGGACCUGGAGUAAUGCAGUGGUCAAGGCGGUCUCAGAGAGGAGAUGACCUCUGAGCUGAGGCCUGAAGGACGGGAAGGAGAAACCAUUCUUGGAGCCCAGGGGAGCGAGGACCAGGAAGCCAGGUCAGCAUGAGCGACAACAGCCCUGAGGCCUGGCACAGGAGUGAGAGCAAGUUACAGCCAAAGUGAGAUGGGAAAAGAAGAGAGGAUGGAGGAUGGAGGAUUAGGUGUGAAAUCCUUAUCACAAUCAAAGCCACUAGAGAAACAGAGUAGGAUUUCUGGCAGUGUGGAGCGACCACUUGAAGUUACUGAAUUUGCAAUGACCUGCCAGUCUGCCAUACGCAGCAUGUGCCAAGCGUGGGCUUUUCCCCAGGGGACAUGGACGGAAGAGAAGAGGAGGCAAUGUGACUGUGGUUGCAGAGAUUGGAGUGACGCAGCCACAACCCAAGGAAUACCUGGAGCCACCAGAAACUGGAGGAGGCAAGAAACAGAUUCUCCCCUAGAGCCACCAGAGGGAAAAUGGACCCAUUGAAAGCUUGAUUUUGAACUUCUAGUCUCCAUAAC